GAGGGUACAGUUCAGUGGUAGAGCGUGUGCUUAGCAUGCAUGAGGUCCUGGGUUCAAUCCCUAGCACCUCCA
Molecule: transfer RNA, 72 nt
Filed under: Camelus bactrianus (Bactrian camel)
Lineage: Eukaryota; Metazoa; Chordata; Mammalia; Artiodactyla; Camelidae
Also listed under: 2 other names
Rfam family: tRNA
About the family: Transfer RNA (tRNA) molecules are approximately 80 nucleotides in length.
Source: Rfam by way of RNAcentral